GUUCAUUUGUGCCCACCUCGCUGUUUCUUGCUUUCUUGCAAUGGGGAGGGAGGACCCACUUCGUUCUCGCCCUUCUCCAGCAAAUCCCUGAGAUCUGAACGGCGUGAAAGUGUGGAGCCUGGAUGUUCUGCUUGGCAUUCAGAAUUUACUGAUGCAGGCGCCAGCAAGAGUCCUCCAGGCAGCAAGUCCACUGACAGGUACAAUGCGUGUAGUAGUCGAUCAAGAAGCAGCGAGGAGGAUGUUUCAUAGCACAGAUCGAGGAAGAUAAGUCGCAGUAGUCGUGAUUCGUGAUUGAGGCAGCUGAAUAUCUGGGCAUCUGGCCACGGGCAACUCUGGGUUUUGGACGAUAGAAUGCCGCACAGAUGGCACUACCUCAUGUAGUAGUCAUUUGCCAGCCUUGUUUUGUACUGCUUUUUCCCCUUUCCUCUUUGCUGA
Lolium rigidum is the source of this 435-nucleotide long non-coding RNA. RefSeq lists it as uncharacterized. The record is from RefSeq and is a predicted model, not a curated record. Lineage: Eukaryota; Viridiplantae; Streptophyta; Magnoliopsida; Poales; Poaceae. The transcript has 2 exons.